GACGAACGCUGGCGGCGUGCCUAAUACAUGCAAGUCGAGCGGGGAUUAUGCUUGAUCGCUUCGGUGAGACGGCAUAUAUCCUAGCGGCGGACGGGUGAGUAACGCGUGGGUAAUCUACCUCGUAGUUCGGGAUAACAGGCCGAAAGGCUUGCUAAUACCGGAUGAGUUCAUGCUUAUGCAUAUAGGCAUGAAGAAAGGGCUAGCCCGCUAUGAGAUGAGCCCGCGUCCCAUUAGCUUGUUGGUGGGUAACGGCCUACCAAGGCUAUGAUGGGUAGCCGGCCUGAGAGGGUGAACGGCCACACUGGGACUGAGAUACGGCCCAGACUCCUACGGGAGGCAGCAGUAGGGAAUAUUGCGCAAUGGGCGAAAGGCCUGACGCAGCGACACCGUGUGUAGGAUGAAGAUCUUCGGAUCGUAAACUAUUGUCAGUUGAAGACGAAGGCAGUAGAGUUAAGAGCUGAAUGCUGACGGUA
Molecule: ribosomal RNA, 473 nt
Filed under: uncultured bacterium
Lineage: Bacteria
Description: bacterial SSU rRNA
Rfam family: Bacterial small subunit ribosomal RNA
Source: RNAcentral